AGCUCCAAUAGCGUAUAUUAAAGUUGUUGCAGUUAAAAAGCUCGUAGUUGAACCUCGGGCCAGGGAAAUGGGUCGCCUUCGGGUUGUACUCUUUUCUCUGGUCUUCCUUCUAGCGAACUAUUGUGCCAUUCAUUUGGUGCGAUAGGGAACUAGGACUUUUACUUUGAAAAAAUUAGAGUGUUUAAAGCAGGCAAUCGCUUGAAUACAUUAGCAUGGAAUAAUAAAAUAGGACUUUGGUUUUAUUU
Molecule: ribosomal RNA, 245 nt
Filed under: uncultured Chytridiomycetes
Lineage: Eukaryota; Fungi; Chytridiomycota; Chytridiomycetes
Description: partial small subunit ribosomal RNA
Rfam family: Eukaryotic small subunit ribosomal RNA
Source: RNAcentral